AGCGAGCUCACGAUGCAGGCAACACGGCGCAAGUCUUGUCUCUAUCAACGACCAGGCCGAGAACAACUAUUUUGCAAAUCUGCUCUCGAAAUUUCCUGAUAAAAGGGCUGAGCCAUUAAUCUGGCUGGGUCUGCGUAAAGAAGCUG
Molecule: long non-coding RNA, 146 nt
Organism: Branchiostoma floridae (Florida lancelet)
Lineage: Eukaryota; Metazoa; Chordata; Leptocardii; Amphioxiformes; Branchiostomatidae
Exons: 2
Source: RefSeq, a predicted model, not a curated record